GUGAAUCAUCAAAUUUUUGAACGCAAAUUGCACUCUCCGGCUUUCCGGGAGAGUAUGCCUGUUUGAGGGUCUGUUUAAAAAAUAAUCGAGGCUGCUGCUGUGGUGGCGCUUCGGAAUUGGGUCAUCUUCCACCUUUCGGGGUUGUAAGCGACCUAAAAUUUUUCUUCCGUUUUUUCCGACCGUUCCUAAGAUUUUUUCUUUUAGUU
This 206-nucleotide unclassified non-coding RNA is filed under the name Glomus sp. RNAcentral's name for it is "partial contains 5.8S ribosomal RNA and internal transcribed spacer 2". The stretch from base 1 to 72 matches the Rfam family "5.8S ribosomal RNA", at positions 84 to 154 of the family's 154-position model. Lineage: Eukaryota; Fungi; Glomeromycota; Glomeromycetes; Glomerales; Glomeraceae. The record is from RNAcentral.